UUCAGGUUAAGAAUGGACCUCCGGAACGAAUUAAGUUCUUAACCCGAGGUACCACUGUGGCUGUUGCUGGGUGGGCGCCUGUAUUUUCAGCCCUGCGUGUGGCGUGAUCUCUCUCCUGCCUUAAAGCAAGGGUCUCCCAACCAGGGUUGGAUUUAGGUUUGAUGAGGCCCUAAGCUACUGAAGGUGUUUACAAAACGAAGGAGGUCAGUGAUGGCAAAUGAAGGCACUCCUGUCCGACUAGGAGCCGUUAGUGUCCCUUAUGGGCAUGUGAUUGGCCAUGAAAAAUGGAAAGGCUCUCUGGUUGCUCAGGGGAUACAAGGGAAAGUUAAACUAAUUCUAGAAGAUGGCCUGGGAGUCGUAGACUUCCAUCUUUCAAACAGAUCCUGUGUCCUUUAUAUUUCUGAAGCAGACCUGGUUGCAGGAAAUGGCUUCAAAAGGAGACUUGUUCGCUUUAGAAACGUAAGUGUUGCCUGAAAUAGCUGGUGUUCGCCUGACUCCCCAUUUAUAGAACUUCCAUCAGCAAGAAUGUCAGGGCAAUUUUAACACAGUUCAAGGAUAGAGACCUCUCUUCUACUCAGCGCACACUGAUGGUACUAUAUCUGAUGCUAAAUAUAGCUAGAAAACAACCCUUUCAUGUAGUUUUAUCUUUAUCUGUCUUGUUUCAGAAAACUUGCAGUUCUUCCUGCCCCCUGGAUUUGCUAUCUUCAUUUUCUGUUUUAAUUUUAUUCUCACCUUUUUAAAACUGGAUGAUUCACAUAUUAUUAGUAGGUGAAGCUUUUCAUAUUAUCUCCAUACCAGGAAAUGCUUUAUCUGUUUGAUUUCUUCAUAACCCGAGAUAACUGGUUAGCCACUGUUAGAAACAAGAUACUGAGUGUGACACAGUGGUCAUUGACGAUGUUGGGUGUAUCAGGCUGCUGUUAAAGGUGCAGGAGCAGAACUAGAACAGAAGUGGCAGCCAUCAUCUUUUAAAUAAGUUCAACCUUUAGGCUGAUAAAUAAAAGCAUGUCAGCAGCCAGGU
Non-coding RNA from Podarcis muralis (Common wall lizard), 1018 nucleotides. NCBI's taxonomy places the organism in Eukaryota, Metazoa, Chordata, Lepidosauria, Squamata, Lacertidae. The record is from RefSeq and is a predicted model, not a curated record.